RNAcentral lists this transfer RNA (73 nucleotides) under Thermoproteota archaeon. RNAcentral's name for it is "tRNA-Ile". It matches the Rfam family "tRNA". Rfam says of the family: Transfer RNA (tRNA) molecules are approximately 80 nucleotides in length. Their secondary structure includes four short double-helical elements and three loops (D, anti-codon, and T loops). Lineage: Archaea; Thermoproteati; Thermoproteota. The record is from RNAcentral.
UGGAGCAUAACUCAGCGGUCAGAGUGCUUCCCUGAUAAGGAAGAAGUCGGUUGUUCAAAUCAACCUGUUCCAA